Molecule: ribosomal RNA, 513 nt
Filed under: uncultured bacterium
Lineage: Bacteria
Description: bacterial SSU rRNA
Rfam family: Bacterial small subunit ribosomal RNA
Source: RNAcentral
AGAGUUGAUCCUGGCUUAGGAUGAACGCUGGCGGCGUGCCUAAUACAUGCAAGUCGAACGAGGUAGCAAUACCGAGUGGCGAACGGGUGAGUAACACGUAGGUAACCUGCCCUUAAGCUUGGGAUACCCAGAGGAAACUUUGGCUAAUACCGGAUAACAACAGAGAAGGCAUCUUCUUGCUUGAAAGGCCCCUUCAAGGGUCACUUAAGGAUGGACCUGCGGCGCAUUAGCUAGUUGGUGAGAUAACAGCCCACCAAGGCGAGGAUGCGUAGCCGAACUGAGAGGUUGAUCGGCCACAUUGGAACUGAGACACGGUCCAAACUCCUACGGGAGGCAGCAGUAAGGAGUUUUCGGCAAUGGGGGAAACCCUGACCGAGCAACGCCGCGUGAGCGAUGACGGCCCUAAUGGGUUGUAAAGCUCUGUUGUAAGCCAUGAAUGAUAGCUUUAGGAAAUGAAAGCUAUUUGACGACAGCUUACCAGAAAGCCACGGCUAACUACGUGCCAGCCGCCGC